RNAcentral lists this ribosomal RNA (253 nucleotides) under uncultured bacterium. RNAcentral describes it as "partial 16S ribosomal RNA". It matches the Rfam family "Bacterial small subunit ribosomal RNA", at positions 524 to 776 of the family's 1533-position model. The record is from RNAcentral.
UACGAAGGGGGCUAGCGUUGCUCGGAAUCACUGGGCGUAAAGCGCACGUAGGCGGAUUGUUAAGUCAGGGGUGAAAUCCUGGAGCUCAACUCCAGAACUGCCUUUGAUACUGGCGAUCUUGAGUUCGGGAGAGGUGAGUGGAACUGCGAGUGUAGAGGUGAAAUUCGUAGAUAUUCGGAGGAACACCAGAAGCGAAGGCGGCCAACUGGCCCGAUACUGACGCUGAGGCGCGAAAGCGUGGGGAGCAAACAGG